UACGGAAGGCAGCAGUGGGGAAUAUUGGACAAUGGGCGAAAGCCUGAUCCAGCCAUGCCGCAUGAGUGAAGAAGGCCUUCGGGUUGUAAAGCUCUUUUAGUGAGAAAGAUAAUGACGGUACUCACAGAAGAAGUCCUGGCUAACUCCGUGCCAGCAGCCGCGGUAAUACGGAGAGGGCUAGCGUUAUUCGGAAUUAUUGGGCGUAAAGAGCGCGUAGGCUGAUUAGUAAGUUAAAAGUGAAAUCCCAAGCUUAACUUUGGAAUUGCUUUUUAAAACUGCUAGUCUAGAGAUUGAAAGAGGAUAGAGGAAUUCCUAGUGUAGAGGUGAAAUUCGUAAAUAUUAGGGGGAACACCAGUGGCGAAGGCGUCUAUCUGGUUCAAAUCUGACGCUGAGGCGCGAAGGGCGUGGGGAGCGAAACAGGGAUUAGAUACC
RNAcentral lists this ribosomal RNA (432 nucleotides) under uncultured bacterium. RNAcentral describes it as "bacterial SSU rRNA". It matches the Rfam family "Bacterial small subunit ribosomal RNA", at positions 340 to 786 of the family's 1533-position model. The record is from RNAcentral.